GGGGAUGUGGCUCAGUGGUAGAGCGCUCACCUAACAUGUGUAAGGCUCUGGGUUUGAACCUCAGUACCA
Molecule: transfer RNA, 69 nt
Filed under: Urocitellus parryii (Arctic ground squirrel)
Lineage: Eukaryota; Metazoa; Chordata; Mammalia; Rodentia; Sciuridae
Also listed under: 1 other name
Description: Spermophilus parryii (Arctic ground squirrel) tRNA
Rfam family: tRNA
About the family: Transfer RNA (tRNA) molecules are approximately 80 nucleotides in length. Their secondary structure includes four short double-helical elements and three loops (D, anti-codon, and T loops). Further hydrogen bonds mediate the characteristic L-shaped molecular structure. tRNAs have two regions of fundamental functional importance: the anti-codon, which is responsible for specific mRNA codon recognition, and the 3' end, to which the tRNAs corresponding amino acid is attached (by aminoacyl-tRNA synthetases). tRNAs cope with the degeneracy of the genetic code in two manners: having more than one tRNA (with a specific anti-codon) for a particular amino acid; and 'wobble' base-pairing, i.e. permitting non-standard base-pairing at the 3rd anti-codon position.
Source: Rfam by way of RNAcentral